Molecule: ribosomal RNA, 481 nt
Filed under: uncultured bacterium
Lineage: Bacteria
Description: partial 16S ribosomal RNA
Rfam family: Bacterial small subunit ribosomal RNA
Source: RNAcentral
GACGAACGCUGGCGGCGUGCUUAACACAUGCAAGUCGAACGCUGAAGCUCAGCUUGCUGGGUGGAUGAGUGGCGAACGGGUGAGUAACACGUGAGUAACCUGCCCUCUUCUUUGGGAUAACGCCCGGAAACGGGUGCUAAUACUGGAUAUUCACUGAUUCUCGCAUGGGGGUUGGUGGAAAGGUUUUUUCUGGUGGGGAUGGGCUCGCGGCCUAUCAGCUUGUUGGUGGGGUGAUGGCCUACCAAGGCGUUGACGGGUAGCCGGCCUGAGAGGGUGACCGGUCACAUUGGGACUGAGAUACGGCCCAGACUCCUACGGGAGGCAGCAGUGGGGAAUAUUGCACAAUGGGCGAAAGCCUGAGGCAGCGACGCCGCGUGAGGGAUGGAGGCCUUCGGGUUGUAAACCUCUUUCGCUCAUGGUCAAGCCGCAGCUUUGGGUUGUGGUGAGGGUAGUGGGUAAAGAAGCGCCGGCUAACUACGUG